This is an RNA transcript of Ailuropoda melanoleuca (giant panda), 1378 nucleotides long. It is a transcript of the gene named pleckstrin homology domain containing J1, with no coding region annotated. Lineage: Eukaryota; Metazoa; Chordata; Mammalia; Carnivora; Ursidae. The record is from RefSeq and is a predicted model, not a curated record. The transcript is spliced from 3 exons.
CCACUUCCUAGCUGCGCCGCAAAUCCGCUAGGACUUUCUCUCGUGUUGGGGAGCACUGCGCCGUUCGGUGCCCGGCCGGGUUCUGGGCGCUGCGGAGAACCCUUUGGGGUCGUCUUGAGAGCGUCGAGUCCGCAGAGGCCGCUGGAGUCUGUGCUGGUUUUCUGGUGUGCUCAUAAACGAGAGAAACGCGUACUCCUCCAGUCCAGGAGGGCAGAAGUCCGACAACAGGGUGUUUGCAGGGGUGCUUCCUUGCCAGGGGAAACUUUCCCAGGCGAUCUGGCUCCUGGGGGUCGCCAGCAGGGCCAGGCGCUCUUGCCCUUUGUAGAAUCAUUCCUGCGGUUUCCAUGUCCGUGUGGCUCACCCUCGCCGUGUUUGUGUGCACAUCUCCCUUUCUGUAAGGACACGAAUGGGAUUGGGUUUGGUGGCCACCUUCUUCCAGCUGGGUUCAUCUCCUAUUACACUUGCAAGGCUCCUGUAUCCAGAUAGGGCCAUAUUUUCAGGUUCUAGGGCUUAGGACUUGAAUAUACCAUUUUGAGAACACAAUUCAAUCCACAGCUCAGCUGGUAGGAAGAGAUGAGUCUGGGCUUAGACUGGAGGAGGGGACAGUUUUGGCCAGAGGCAACAGGCAGCUGAGGCCUGUGGUGGGCUUGGGGGGGGGCAGUGAGUGGGAACAGACCUGGGGGCUGCUCCCUCUGCAGGCUUCCUGGAGGACCCGGAGAGGAAGUAUCACUUUGAAUGCUGCAGUGAGGAGCAAUGUCAGGAGUGGAUGGGGGCUCUGCGUCGAGCCAGGAAUGAGAUCCAGAAGAUGACUGGCAAGGACCCGCUGGAGCAGUUCGGCAUAUCUGAGGAGGCCAGGUUCCAGCUGGGUGGCUUGAAGGCCUGAGUCUGGAAGAAGCCCUCCCUACCCUCUCCAGGCCCUGGCUUUCCUGGUCAAGCCUGGAUUUGCUGCAGCACGUGUUUGCCUGAAGGACUUCAAAAGCCCAAGAUUGGUGGGGGUGGGCAGGGGCAGGUUGGAGGAACACUCCAGUAACCCACCCCCCCUACCCCCGCACUGGUCUGGCACCUAUUGGUGCCCCAUGCUGCUACCAGGGGAUGAGUGUCCACUCCUAGAAGCUGUUCCCCAGCCCCUUGGGCACAUCCGUCUGGGGCCUGGCGGCUUCUGAGGCUGGUGUAGCUCUCCUGCCCUGUGCAGGCUGAAUGUACAAAACUAGACAAUGCUGUGAAGGGCGUGGAGGCCAUGCCUCCUGGAGCCACUGUGAAUUCUACUCCUGCUGAUGGGGCAGGCCCUGGCCAGACGCCUCUGGGCAGAGCUGGGAAGCCUUCACUCUCAGGCCAGUGUGCUUGUUGUAUUCAAAUAAAGGGACCUCUUUUCCAUGGG